AUUGAACGCUGGCGGCAGGCCUAACACAUGCAAGUCGAACGGCAGCACAGUAAUUGCUUGCGCUUACGGCGGCCGACGGGCGGGCGAUUCCUAAGUAUAUCGCAGUCUGCGGGUUCUAGGGUCCGGACGCAGGCGCUCAUACGGCAUUAGCGCAGACGACCUACGGGUGAGAGCAUCGGAUCUUCCGCUCUCACGUGAGUCUAGGUCGGAUUAGCUAGUUGGUGGGGUAAAGGCCUACCAAGGCGACGAUCCGUAGCUGGUCUGAGAGGAUGAUCAGCCACACUGGAACUGAGACACGGUCCAGACUCCUACGGGAGGCAGCAGUGGGGAAUAUUGGACAAUGGGCGAAAGCCUGAUCCAGCCAUGCCGCGUGUGUGAAGAAGGUCUUCGGAUUGUAAAGCCCUUUUAUUGGGGAGGAAGAGCAGUAGGUUAAUACCUUGCUGUUUUGACGGUACCAAAAGAAUAAGCACCGGCUAACUUCGUG
Molecule: ribosomal RNA, 484 nt
Filed under: uncultured bacterium
Lineage: Bacteria
Description: partial 16S ribosomal RNA
Rfam family: Bacterial small subunit ribosomal RNA
Source: RNAcentral